This 208-nucleotide ribosomal RNA is filed under the name uncultured bacterium. RNAcentral's name for it is "partial 16S ribosomal RNA". It matches the Rfam family "Bacterial small subunit ribosomal RNA", at positions 125 to 334 of the family's 1533-position model. The record is from RNAcentral.
ACUGCCUGAUGGGGGGGGAGUAACUACUGGAAACGGUAGCUAAUACCGCAUAAUGUCUGCGGACCAAAGCGGGGGACCUCCGGGCCUCGCGCCAUCAGAUGAACCCAUGUGGGAUUAGCUUGUAGGUAAGGUAACGGCUUACCUAGGCGACGAUCCCUAGCUGGUCUGAGAGGAUGAUCAGCCACACUGGGACUGAGACACGGCCCAG